AUUGAACGCUGGCGGCAGGCCUAACACAUGCAAGUCGAACGAGUGGCGGACGGGUGAGUAAUGUCUGGGAAACUGCCUGAUGGAGGGGGAUAACUACUGGAAACGGUAGCUAAUACCGCAUACCAUCAGAUGUGCCCAGAUGGGAUUAGCUAGUUGGUGGGGUAACGGCUAACCAAGGCGACGAUCCCUAGCUGGUCUGAGAGGAUGACCAGCCACACGGGAACUGGGACACGGUCCAGAUUCGUACGGAGGGCACCAGUGGGGAAUAUUGCACAAUGGGCGCAAGCCUAAUGCAGCCAGGCGGGGUGUAUGAGGAAGGCCUUCGGGUGGUAAAGUACUUUCAGAGGGGAGGCGUUACCCACAGAAGAAGCGACGGCUAACUCCGUGCCAGCAGCCGCGGUAAUAC
RNAcentral lists this ribosomal RNA (406 nucleotides) under uncultured bacterium. RNAcentral's name for it is "partial 16S ribosomal RNA". It matches the Rfam family "Bacterial small subunit ribosomal RNA", at positions 29 to 526 of the family's 1533-position model. The record is from RNAcentral.